Long non-coding RNA from Mytilus californianus (California mussel), 231 nucleotides. RefSeq lists it as uncharacterized. The record is from RefSeq and is a predicted model, not a curated record. The transcript is spliced from 3 exons. NCBI's taxonomy places the organism in Eukaryota, Metazoa, Mollusca, Bivalvia, Mytilida, Mytilidae.
AGUGUAUCUAUACAUCGCAAUCGGAGCAUUGACACCACCCAAAUUUGAACGUAGCUUUACAUAAGAAUUCAGAAGGCAAUGAAAUAUCAACAGUCAAUGAAGAACAUGAUUAAAUACAGAAAGUGACCUGGACAUUUCCUAGUGAUAGAUUGGAAUACGUGAGUUUCAUAACUAGAUACAGAAGGGAACCUGUGUUACAAAGAUCGAGGUAGAUGUUGAAGUAAAAGACAA